GAUGAACGCUGGCGGCGUGCCUAAUACAUGCAAGUCGAGCGAACGGACGAGAAGCUUGCUUCUCUGAUGUUAGCGGCGGACGGGUGAGUAACACGUGGAUAACCUACCUAUAAGACUGGGAUAACUUCGGGAAACCAGAGCUAAUACCGGGUAAUAUUUUGAACCGCAUGGUUCAAAAGUGAAAGACGGUCUUGCUGUCACUUAUAGAUGGAUACGCGCUGCAUUAGCUAGUUGGUAAGGUAACGGCUUACCAAGGCAACGAUGCAUAGCCGACCUGAGAGGGUGAUCGGCCACACUGGAACUGAGACACGGUCCAGACUCCUACGGGAGGCAGCAGUAGGGAAUCUUCCGCAAUGGGCGAAAGCCUGACGGAGCAACGCCGCGUGAGUGAUGAAGGUCUUCGGAUCGUAAAACUCUGUUAUUAGGGAAGAACAUAUGUGUAAGUAACUGUGCACAUCUUGACGGUACCUAAUCAGAAAGCCACGGCUAACUACGUG
Molecule: ribosomal RNA, 497 nt
Filed under: uncultured bacterium
Lineage: Bacteria
Description: partial 16S ribosomal RNA
Rfam family: Bacterial small subunit ribosomal RNA
Source: RNAcentral